This 109-nucleotide ribosomal RNA is filed under the name Scophthalmus maximus (turbot). The record is from RNAcentral. Lineage: Eukaryota; Metazoa; Chordata; Actinopteri; Pleuronectiformes; Scophthalmidae.
GCUUACGGCCACACCGCCUUGUUCCGCCCGAUCUCGGAAGCUAAGAUAGGUUGGGGCCUGGUUAGUACUUGGAUGGGAGACCGCCUGGGAAUACCAGGUGCUGUAAGCU